Molecule: long non-coding RNA, 513 nt
Organism: Helianthus annuus (common sunflower)
Lineage: Eukaryota; Viridiplantae; Streptophyta; Magnoliopsida; Asterales; Asteraceae
Exons: 3
Source: RefSeq, a predicted model, not a curated record
AACACACACACUGUACGUGUGUGGAUCGAUCAGGAGCAAAGGAAAACAAGGGUUUACCCUUGUUCUCACCAAAUUCACCAAAUUGACAAGGAAAAAUCGAUGUUUAUCAGUUGCAUGUAGUAAAAUUUCGAUCAUCUACCCAUACCCGGUGAAGUGGUGUGAAGGAAGAAGGUUCAAACUCUAAGAAAUCGGAAGGAUCACAAGACCGAGGUAAAUCCUCGGCUUAGGCGAUUGGACGGCUUGGAACGUGCACACUUGAUUCAUGCCCGCCUCACGCUUCCGUCACAAGUUGUUUUGAUAAGGGUUAAAUUUUUGGUCGGAUGUAAUUAAUCUUAUGUAGUAUGUUGAUGUCCGUGUCGUUGGGUCAAACCUAGUAGUUGUAGUCUUGUUACAUACAAUGUUAAUUUUCGUCCGUAUUUGGAUUUUGUCAAAAAUGUUUGUUGUUGAAGUUUGUUUGUGUAAAACAGGAAAUAGUGGUUUAAAACGAAUGGGUCAUGCCGAAAUUUUUAAAAA